RNAcentral lists this ribosomal RNA (113 nucleotides) under Aromatoleum anaerobium. Lineage: Bacteria; Pseudomonadati; Pseudomonadota; Betaproteobacteria; Rhodocyclales; Rhodocyclaceae. The record is from RNAcentral.
UCUGACGACCAUAGCCUCCUGGCCCCACCCCUUCCCAUCCCGAACAGGACCGUGAAACAGGAGCGCGCCGAUGAUAGUGCCCGUCCGGGUGCGAAAGUAGGUCAUCGUCAGAC